Molecule: long non-coding RNA, 449 nt
Organism: Ctenopharyngodon idella (grass carp)
Lineage: Eukaryota; Metazoa; Chordata; Actinopteri; Cypriniformes; Xenocyprididae
Exons: 2
Source: RefSeq, a predicted model, not a curated record
CAGGAAGCAGCUCUCCUGGAUCUGGAGCUGCCUGAGGCUGGAAUAUUUCAGACAUCACAUAGUUAGUCAUGUUUUAAUAAUAAUCAAUAAUCAAUAUCAGUCAAUAACAAAUUGGUACUAUAGUUACUCAAAUUGAAAAGUUUACUUCAUAUGCAAGGGAUCAAAUACUUGUGAUCACUUAGCUGGGAAAAUUGGGGGAUCAAAUGGGUUCCCUCGCACAAGUUUCUUCACAUUAAUUUAGUAAAUCAUUGUACAACAUCAUACCAUAACACACCAUAAACAAAUGAAAAACUAAAGCACUCACCUCCUCUUUCACCCCCGUGAGCCAUCGACAUCCUCUUCCAAACUGCAAUAAAAACAAUAACUUACAAAAUACAAUAUAUAUAAAAAAAGAAUGAAAUACAACUCUCCUCAGAAAUAAUCCUCCAAAAAAAAAAAAAGAAUAAGAA